GAUGAACGCUAGUGAUAGGCUUAACACAUGCAAGUCGAGGGGCAGCAUAGGUGUAGUUUACUACAUUUGAUGGCGACCGGCGGAUGGGUGAGUAACGCGUAUGCAACCUACCCUCUACAGGGGGAUAGCCCGUUGAAAGACGGAUUAAUACCGCAUAAUAACUAAGAUCUGCAUGGAUUUUAGUUUAAAAAUUUAUUGGUAGAGGAUGGGCAUGCGUUUCAUUAGCUAGUUGG
RNAcentral lists this ribosomal RNA (233 nucleotides) under uncultured bacterium. RNAcentral's name for it is "partial 16S ribosomal RNA". It matches the Rfam family "Bacterial small subunit ribosomal RNA", at positions 28 to 252 of the family's 1533-position model. The record is from RNAcentral.